GACGAACGCUGGCGGCGUGCUUAACACAUGCAAGUCGAACGGGCCUUGUCCCCUUUUUUUUUGGGGGUGGGGUUAGUGGCGAACGGGUGAGUAACACGUGAGUAACCUGCCCCUCACUUCUGGAUAACCGCUUGAAAGGGUGGCUAAUACGGGGUGUUCUGGCCUGCUCGCAUGGGUGGGUUUGGAAAGAUUCGACCGGUUUUGGUUGUUUUGGUGGGGGAUGGGCUCGCGGCCUAUCAGCUUGUUGGUGGGGGGAUGGCCUGCCAAGGGUUUGACGGGUAGCCGGCCUGAGAGGGUGGGCGGUCACACUGGGACUGAGACACGGCCCAGACUCCUACGGGAGGCAGCAGUGGGGAAUAUUGCACAAUGGGCGCAAGCCUGAUGCAGCGACGCCGCGUGAGGGAUGGAGGCCUUCGGGUUGUGAACCUCUUUCGCCAGUGAAGAAGGUCCUGCUCUUUGUGGUGGGGUUGACGGUAGCUGGGUUAAUGAAGCGCCGGCUAACUACGUG
RNAcentral lists this ribosomal RNA (508 nucleotides) under uncultured bacterium. RNAcentral's name for it is "partial 16S ribosomal RNA". It matches the Rfam family "Bacterial small subunit ribosomal RNA", at positions 28 to 507 of the family's 1533-position model. The record is from RNAcentral.